Non-coding RNA from Theobroma cacao (cacao), 3609 nucleotides. NCBI's taxonomy places the organism in Eukaryota, Viridiplantae, Streptophyta, Magnoliopsida, Malvales, Malvaceae. The record is from RefSeq and is a predicted model, not a curated record.
GAAACAGUGAUCGACAAAUGCUACACAAAGGGCCGUAAAAAGACCUCCACCUUUGAUCACGUAUUUGUUCUCUUUGAGUGGCACGUUUUGACUCUCUUUGUGUGCCACAUGGACAGAGGUUAGGACAGAGGGACCUUUGGGCACUCCCGAUAGAAAUUGCCUCCGAGGGCGUCUUUUCGCCAAAUCCCGUGCUGCAAUCUUUUCUUCUUGUAAAGUCUUUUCUUCCCGUGCAGGGCAGCACGACCAACCCAUUCUUUUCAUUUUUAUGUGCAAACACCCUUCAAGAAAUAUCUCCUUUGGCCUCUUUUUGUACUUUUUACUCUCUUUUUUUACAUUCAAUUCUUUCUUUAUUUCCCUUUGUUUUCUUUCUCUCUUUUGUUAAUCUCUCUCUCCUCUUUUCUCUCUUUGCUACCGUGAGCAGCGAAGGUGGGCUGCGACGGUGGACGUGGAGGUGAGGGGUCAAGGGUUUUGAUCUCUUUACAUAAUCUUCCUCUUCGCUUUUGCAAUCUAUAUUUUCCUCUUAACACUGGCGACAUUGUGAAAGACCAACACAUCUCUUUACGAAUCCCACUCCCAAUCCCAAUCUCAACUUCUACAGAUAGCUGAUGAAGAACUUUGGGAUGCUCCUUCUAGCCAUGGUUUACGUCCAUGUGUCAAGCCUACUGAACAGAUGCAAAGGGUCCGGCCACUGUUUAACGGUGAAAAGCAAUGGGCCUUGAAUCAAAUGCGCACUGGUGAAGAAAAGAGUAUAACCCAUCCUGUAUGAACAAUGCUUAGCUAGGUCACGUGAUGAGUGGAAUUGUAUGCUAGACAAGACCUAUUUUUUGGGUAUGGCAGCAUAUGAAGUUAUUUGUGGCUUGACAUUGAGGCAGGCAGUGAGUGUGUCUGUAAAGUGCACUGAAUUAUUUCCCUUUUUUUAUUUGUCUGUUUUCAUUUUUGCUUUCCUUCCUUUAUUUGUUUUCUUUUUAAGUUUUGCUAGACUCUUUACUUAUUUUUAUGCAAUUUAUUAUUAUUAUUGUUAUUUUCAUAAUAGUUUCUUCCUCAGCAGCAAUAAGUUUGUCGCAAACAAAAUCGAUACAACAAGAUAAAAAUAUUAAAAGCUAAAAGAUUUACGAACAUAAAAAAAAAGUAAUUCUUAGUCACUUAUUGUUCUUCACUUCAAUGCUGGCAAUUUAUUGAUAACCUAGAAACUUCUUAGUUGGCUUUAGCUAUUAACGUAGAGAUAUAAUAAAUUAUAGGGAAGUAAUAAAAUUGUCGAGAGAAACCAAAGUUUGACAUUUCUACACCGUUUGGAUCCCAACAAAAAGGACAACUUAUUUUAAUUGAUACGUACCAGAGUAUCUAUUAUUUUAGUAAUUAUGCAUUUUAUUUUCUUAAACCUGCAAAUCAGCUGUUUUAUAGUAUACUACAUAUUUUGAAUUUUUCUUUUUGCACAUGGAGUGAGAUGCUAGAAAAUAUCCGUUAAUUUUCUUCACUUGGAACUAAAAACUUCAAUAUUUCUGUGACUUUCAAUAUGGGGAUUAUCUGGACAUUAUUGUUGUGCACUUUAAUGCUAGAAAUUUACUCAUAACCCAAAAAAUUUUUAAUUGACUUCAACUCUUAGGUUAGAGAUAUAUUGGAUUAUAGAGAAAUUGUGAGAGUCUAGACAGAAGACAAAAUUUCCCAUUUCUGCACUACUUAAUUGCCAAGAAAAAAGACAAGUUAUUUUAACUGAUAUAUAACAGAGUAUCUAUUAAUUUACUAUUUAUGCAUUGUAUUUUCUUAAAUUUACAACUGACCUAUUUUUAAAGAAGUGCCUUCUUGUUAUAGAAAUGUUUUUUUCUCUUUUUCCUGGACAAUGUUCUGUACUUUCACUUUUGGACUAAUAGAGAAUAGACUACUUCUUUGUGCUUAUCAAAUAUUUAUCUCUGUCUGUCAGUAAUUAAAUCUAAAUGCUUUCAAUGUUGCAUACAACUUAUUCUAGAGGAUAGUAUUGGAUAAAUAGAGGUUGUGGCCUUUGGUAGAUUGGUGGAAAAAUUGGUUGGGGCGGCAAUCACAAAACUUGCAGCCGUAAAACUAUCCACUGCAUGACAUUGCCUGGACUUGUUAAAGCGUUGAUCAACCAAACUAGGACUUUCAUAAUAGGUCUGACCUCAAGAGCAAUGAAAACAGAAAUUGCCAACUUCAGGAGGCUAACAACCCACCACUCCAAGUUCUAGCAUCAUUUCUGGAUCAGCAAUACUUCCAACAACAAUUUAGCGACCUCAGGAACAACCUCUGCCAUCACUAAUUGGCCCCUAAGUGGCCAGGGAGCUUUUCUUAGAUUGCACACCUCAGAAACAUGAUAGCACCAAUCAAGGAGAAGAAUCGCCCAUCAAAAAAUAUAUGACCAGGGGGUAGUCCAAACGACCCUAGAAACAGAAGCAUGGCUCAGGUUGAAUCCUUUUGCCCACCUGCAGUCAAUAAGAAACCUUGAAAUUUAAUUUCUAGCUACAUAUUAGAAGGCCUUAUAUUUUUUGUGUAAAGUUGCAUGGUUUGUGGAAUAGUUUGAACAUGACUUUUGUAUAUGGUCAGAGUGCUGGCAUUACCUUAACUACAAUACAUAUUUUUUGUAAUGCUUACCACCAAAUUAAAGCCUAGGUUAACAUUAUGACACAUGAUAACUCAUAUAGUCCCAUAGAAAAUCUUUAUAAUCAAGCCUUAAGAAAAGGCUCAUCAAGGUCAUAUUUUAUACAACCGUCACUUACAUGAACUACCUUUUUCUUAAUAAGGUGGGAAUGAAUGUAUAAACUAAUGAAAAACCAUAAUACUAGUUUUCAUUUUGUGUUCACAUCUGUUUAAAUUUGUAUACAAUCUCUUUUGCAACAACUUGCUUAAUUUCCAUGACAUAAACACUUUAUAAAAAUUUAAAUUUGCAGGAAAUGAACUAAUUCUACAACAUGUCUAAUUAUACCCGAGUGCAAGGCACGAGCAUAUUCUAGUUUAAUUUAAUUUAAAGUGCAAUUAUUUUAACCCUCACAGGGUCUUAAAUGUGACACAUGGUGUUGUAAAUGGGUUGAUGGAUGGAGGGCGUUUCGGACUCUUUUAAGUUUUUUUUUACAUUUUGCUUUUCUCUUUGUUCUUGCUCUGCCCGUUUUUUCAAAUAGUUAGCGCCCUUCUCUACCAACUAACCAUUCUCUCACCAGAGACCACCUAAGUUUUUUCUUUUUUUUGGUUUUUGCUAUUCAAUUGCUGUUAGCGGUCGCGUGUCUUCGUUGGCGAUCCUUUUCACAUGUGGUUUGUGUUGCUUUUCUCUUUCAAGUUGAUGGUAGUUCUUGUGUUUCUUGGCUGACUGAGGUUUUUAUCUCUGUUUAGUCUCUUAUGUUUUUGAUGGUUGGCCAAAGGUUUUCUAUCAGCAGCAGUGUAGGUGCUUAUUUUGUUCUUAGGGAUUUGGUAAUUGAACUUUUGCUUCGUGGAGUUCAAAGGUGGAUCCCUCUUGGUAUUUAAUACCUUUUUAAUGUCUUGAUUUUACUUUUAAGGCUUUAAUAUGAUCAGGAUCCUUUUAGAUUUUGAAGUUUGGAAAUCCUACUGUCCUUGAGACUUUCUAUGUCUUUAUGUUGUAGUUGUUUCUGUAGAUUUUAGUUUCAGAAC